CCUACGGGAGGCAGCAGUGGGGAAUAUUGGACAAUGGGCGAAAGCCUGAUCCAGCAAUUCCGCGUGUGUGAAGAAGGCCUUCGGGUUGUAAAGCACUUUAGUGGGGGAAGAAACAGCUUGGCCACACCAAGCCUUGACGGUACCCCAAGAAUAAGCACCGGCUAACUCUGUGCCAGCAGCCGCGGUAAUACAGAGGGUGCAAGCGUUAAUCGGAUUUACUGGGCGUAAAGGGUGCGUAGGUGGCUAUUUAAGUCGGAUGUGAAAGCCCGGGGCUCAACCUCGGAAUUGCAUUCGAUACUGAGUGGCUAGAGUUCGGUAGAGGGCGGCGGAAUUUCCGGUGUAGCGGUGAAAUGCGUAGAUAUCGGAAGGAACAUCAAUGGCGAAGGCAGCCGCCUGGGCCUGGACUGACACUGAGGCACGAAAGCGUGGGUAGCAAACAGGAUUAGAUACCCUGGUAGUCCACGCCGUAAACGAUGAGAACUUGACGUUGGUUCGUUUUACGAAUCGGUGUCGCNGCUACGACGAUAAGUUACUCCGUCCGUCGGGUAGGUACGGCCGCGAACGGUUAGGUAAACGUACGAACGGAAAGUUAGACGGCGUGAGACGUGCCGACGGACGACGACGAGGGAGGUAGG
Molecule: ribosomal RNA, 635 nt
Filed under: uncultured bacterium
Lineage: Bacteria
Description: bacterial SSU rRNA
Rfam family: Bacterial small subunit ribosomal RNA (bases 1-539)
Source: RNAcentral